Molecule: ribosomal RNA, 230 nt
Filed under: uncultured Alicycliphilus sp.
Lineage: Bacteria; Pseudomonadati; Pseudomonadota; Betaproteobacteria; Burkholderiales; Comamonadaceae
Description: partial 16S ribosomal RNA
Rfam family: Bacterial small subunit ribosomal RNA
Source: RNAcentral
AGAGAUGCAUUGGGUUUAAAGGGUGCGCAGGCGGUUUUGUAAGACAGAGGUGAAAUCCCCGGGCUCAACCUGGGAACUGCCUUUGUGAUUGCAAGGCUGGAGUGCGGCAGAGGGGGAUGGAAUUCCGCGUGUAGCAGUGAAAUGCGUAGAUAUGCGGAGGAACACCGAUGGCGAAGGCAACCCCCUGGGCCUGCACUGACGCUCAUGCACGAAAGCGUGGGGAGCAAACA